AGUAAAUUUGUGCAGGGAAACGGGUGUGUCCAAGCUGCAGCGGAGUAACAGCACGUAGUAUUUGCAAACGAACAGGAGAAAACGUCCAGAUCAAUUACAUGAAAUCGCAUUUGAUAUAUAAAACAAGCUUGUCACAGCUAAGAACUAGGAAAAUACGACAACGGAAAAUAGCAAGAAACCCACUGAGAAUGCUACAAAUGCUGUGACCCAUUUUUGGGUGAUACAGUAAAACACUAAUUUGUGUACUUACAAAAAGGUGGACUCAUCCUUAAUCCAUUAAUAUUUUUCUGCAACCACUGGAACUGAGCUCAAACUCAAAUAUGAUGUAAAUAGACCAUUGUAUUAUAGAAGAUGAGAAGCAAAAAUCUCAGGAAUACCUGUAUUGCUGCCUUUAAAGCAUGUAGUUCUCCAGUUGGACAACUCUGAAGUUGCUGGGCUUAAGACUGAUGAACUACAAGAGGAAAUUAUCAACAAAUGAAGCCUUCAAAGGAUGGUGUACAGGCAAGUGGAUCCUGAGUAUCCCCUGUGGCUUAGAAUCCACUAUUUUAUGUGUAUUAAUAAUCUAGUGUUACCUAUAUAUUUAUUGUAAAUAGUGACGAAAUAGUGGUAAGAACAUGUGUCGAAUAGCAAGUAUAGACUGUUGGGUCAGAAUUUGUAUGAGAAAUAAUGUUGUGAAUGACUGUGCUCCCAGCGCACUUGUGAGAAAUACCCCAGCUCACUGUGAGAUAUACCACAGUGCAGCAAACUAAUGUAGACUAUGGUGAGAGGUCAAUGAAGCUUUCCCCUACAGCCAGACAGAGACUGUGGAGGGCUACUAGUCCUCUACCAACGAGAACUAGGGACACUGAAUCCCAUUCUUCAAAAUCAGAUAUCCCACAAUUAUGCCCAAAGUGAUACAAUGUAGUGGUAAAAUAUUGACAUGUUUUGUGAAAAUAUGUAUAACUGUUGAAAAUAAAGAAUGAUAACACUCAUAA
This is a long non-coding RNA of Schistocerca serialis cubense, 974 nucleotides long. RefSeq lists it as uncharacterized. Lineage: Eukaryota; Metazoa; Arthropoda; Insecta; Orthoptera; Acrididae. The transcript is spliced from 3 exons. The record is from RefSeq and is a predicted model, not a curated record.